GGACCCGCACAAGCGGUGGAUGAUGUGGAUUAAUUCGAUGCAACGCGAAAAACCUUACCUACCCUUGACAUGUCAGGAAUUUUGCAGAGAUGCGAAAGUGCUCGAAAGAGAACCUGAACACAGGUGCUGCAUGGCUGUCGUCAGCUCGUGUCGUGAGAUGUUGGGUUAAGUCCCGCAACGAGCGCAACCCUUGUCAUUAGUUGCUACGCAAGGGCACUCUAAUGAGACUGCCGGUGACAAACCGGAGGAAGGUGGGGACGACGUCAAGUCCUCAUGGCCCUUAUGGGUAGGGCUUCACACGUCAUACAAUGGUUGGUACAGAGGGUUGCGAACCCGCGAGGGGGAGCUAAUCCCAAAAACCAAUCGUAGUCCGGAUUGCAGUCUGCAACUCGACUGCAUGAAGUCGGAAUCGCUAGUAAUCGCGGAU
RNAcentral lists this ribosomal RNA (427 nucleotides) under uncultured bacterium. RNAcentral describes it as "bacterial SSU rRNA". It matches the Rfam family "Bacterial small subunit ribosomal RNA", at positions 917 to 1349 of the family's 1533-position model. The record is from RNAcentral.